RNAcentral lists this unclassified non-coding RNA (228 nucleotides) under Hevea brasiliensis (rubber tree). The record is from RNAcentral. Lineage: Eukaryota; Viridiplantae; Streptophyta; Magnoliopsida; Malpighiales; Euphorbiaceae.
AGUCAUAGACUAGAGCUGCCAGCAGGCCGUAGAGGAGAGACCCCAGCGGAAUGUUGGUGAUUAGAAUGUUGUGGUUAACCCCCAGGCUGUUGAUCCCGAAGAGUUCUGAUGUCACUGUCACCGCAGCUGCGAAGAUGAACCCUGAGCUCAGGCCAGCCAGCGCCGUCCCUGCCAGCAGCAUAUCCCCAUCCACAGCCCCUGCUAGUAGAAAGAAGGCCACUGGCAUGG